UGGGGAAUUUUGGACAAUGGGCGAAAGCCUGAUCCAGCAAUGCCGCGUGUGUGAAGAAGGCCUUCGGGUUGUAAAGCACUUUUGUCCGGAAAGAAAUCCUCUGGGUUAAUACCUCGGGGGGAUGACGGUACCGGAAGAAUAAGCACCGGCUAACUACGUGCCAGCAGCCGCGGUAAUACGUAGGGUGCAAGCGUUAAUCGGAAUUACUGGGCGUAAAGCGUGCGCAGGCGGUUUUGUAAGACGGAUGUGAAAUCCCCGGGCUUAACCUGGGAACUGCAUUCGUGACUGCAAGGCUAGAGUAUGGCAGAGGGGGGUAGAAUUCCACGUGUAGCAGUGAAAUGCGUAGAGAUGUGGAGGAAUACCGAUGGCGAAGGCAGCCCCCUGGGCCAAAUACUGACGCUCAUGCACGAAAGCGUGGGGAGCAAACAGGAUUAGAUACCCUGGUAGUCCACGCCCUAAAACGAUGUCAACUAGUUGUUGGGGAUUCAUUUCCUUAGUAACGUAGCUAACGCGUGAAGUUGACCGCCUGGGGAGUACGGUCGCAAGAUUAAAACUCAAAUGAA
This 563-nucleotide ribosomal RNA is filed under the name uncultured bacterium. RNAcentral's name for it is "partial 16S ribosomal RNA". It matches the Rfam family "Bacterial small subunit ribosomal RNA", at positions 355 to 909 of the family's 1533-position model. The record is from RNAcentral.